Molecule: small nucleolar RNA, 133 nt
Organism: Suncus etruscus (white-toothed pygmy shrew)
Lineage: Eukaryota; Metazoa; Chordata; Mammalia; Eulipotyphla; Soricidae
Product: small nucleolar RNA SNORA51
Exons: 1
Source: RefSeq, a predicted model, not a curated record
GGCCUCCCAAUUUUUACCAUAGGCUGUGUUCUUUACACUGACUGUACAGAAAGAGGAGGACAAUAAAUGCACCCCAUAUACACCUCAACACAGUCUUCUUUGCCUGGUUUGUAUUGUGAAUUGGGGACCAAAA